Molecule: ribosomal RNA, 604 nt
Filed under: Rhodotorula paludigena
Lineage: Eukaryota; Fungi; Basidiomycota; Microbotryomycetes; Sporidiobolales; Sporidiobolaceae
Description: partial large subunit ribosomal RNA
Rfam family: Eukaryotic large subunit ribosomal RNA
Source: RNAcentral
AAUAGCGGAGGAAAAGAAACUAACAAGGAUUCCCCUAGUAGCGGCGAGCGAAGCGGGAAGAGCUCAAAUUUAUAAUCUGGCACUUUCAGUGUCCGAGUUGUAAUCUCUAGAAGUGUUUUCCGCGUUGGACCGCACACAAGUCUGUUGGAAUACAGCGGCACAGUGGUGACACCCCCGUACACGGUGCGGACGCCCAGCGCUUUGUGAUACACUUUCGAAGAGUCGAGUUGUUUGGGAAUGCAGCUCAAAUUGGGUGGUAAAUUCCAUCUAAAGCUAAAUAUUGGCGAGAGACCGAUAGCGAACAAGUACCGUGAGGGAAAGAUGAAAAGCACUUUGGAAAGAGAGUUAACAGUACGUGAAAUUGUUGGAAGGGAAACGCUUGAAGUCAGACUUGCUUGCCGGAGCUUGCUUCGGUUUGCAGGCCAGCAUCAGUUUUCCGGGGUGGAUAAUGGCGGUUAGAAGGUAGCAGCUUCAGCUGUGUUAUAGCUUUCCGCUGGAUACAUCUUGGGGGACUGAGGAACGCAGCGUGCUUUUAGCGGGGGUUUCGACCUCUUCACGCUUAGGAUGCUGGUGUAAUGGCUUUAAACGACCCGUCUAAAAACCC